Transfer RNA from Felis catus (domestic cat), 85 nucleotides. It matches the Rfam family "tRNA". From Rfam's summary of the family: Transfer RNA (tRNA) molecules are approximately 80 nucleotides in length. The record is from Rfam. Lineage: Eukaryota; Metazoa; Chordata; Mammalia; Carnivora; Felidae.
GCCUGGGUGGCUCAGUCGGUUGAGCAUCCAGCUUCGGCUCAGGUCGUGAUCUCCCAGUUUGUGGGUUCGAGCCCCACAUCAGGCU